Molecule: long non-coding RNA, 1580 nt
Organism: Artibeus jamaicensis (Jamaican fruit-eating bat)
Lineage: Eukaryota; Metazoa; Chordata; Mammalia; Chiroptera; Phyllostomidae
Exons: 3
Source: RefSeq, a predicted model, not a curated record
GGAGAGCCCUCUCUUUAUGGGAUUUGCUAUGCAGGAAGCCAUCAUGCCAGCACGUGGGGAGAGAAUGCUUAGGAACAGAGCCCUUGGAGAGGAACAUAGAGACAAGAGAAGUGCUUUGUAAACCAGAAAGCGCUGAGCACAUGCAAGGUUUUGAUUGGAACUGUCAGCACUGGGAAGGAACUGGGAAGUGGCAGGACAGCCCGAAUGUUCGUGCUGAGAGAGACCGGAGCGACGGACUCAUCCAGCCUCUUCAUCUGACAGGGGCCCCAGAAUCAUGCGGACACCUCCACACCUGACCUCAGAAAACCUGGCUCCUAUUCUGGCCUGUCCCUGCCUCACUUGGGAAAGAAGCUCCUUGUCUCUGAGCCUAUUUUCACAACGGGAUGUGUCCUGGAAGGGGACUGGGCCCAGAGCAGGUCUGCCUUGGAGACAGGAUCAGAGGGGGAGCUGCUGCAGCCCUUUGCUCCUCUGGUUGCAAGUCUCCUGGGACCCUUGGGGUUUAGGAGAGAGGAAGUCAAGCUGCAUGCCCCAGGAGGGGCAUGGGCGUGCUCCCGAGACAGCCCAGCCUGGCAUCUGGGGAAGGGUUUCAGCAGAAUAGUCAUCAGCUUUCCAAGUGCGUUUGUAAUAUGCUGACGCAUCAAAGUGAGCAUGCAGGAGAGUUUGGGGUUAUUCUUUGGUCAGCUUUGCUGUUUUACUUUCAUCCUGGGCCUGCCUGGCUCUAACUGGGUUUUUGUCAUUCGUUCCUCUGCUUCAUCAGUCCUUGGGUUUGGCUGGCACCAGUGGCAUUAACUGGGUCCUCCUUGUCCUCUAGCUCUCUGACCAGAGUUAUUUAGGCUAUUUGUUCUCUGGUUAGGGAGGAGAGGUUUAAACCACUUGUUCUCAAGGGUCCUUGGUGAAGGACGAUAAGGUCUUGUGAUUCACUAGCUGGCUGUGAAUCGGUCAAAUUGUUCCACCUUGUUUAGUUAUUUUGUCUCAGUUUCCCCAUUUCACUUGCCCAGGAAUUACCUAGCCUCAGGCUAUUCUGCCUCAGAUGGAGAAGCUCAAAAAUCUGUUUUAACAUGAUUGGCAGGUGAGCGGAAGGAAGACACGCCCAAUAUCCUACAAAGAAAUGUAAACUGAAACAACGGUGAGCCCUGGCCAGUGUGACACUGUUGGUUGGAGCGUCAUCCACCAAAAUGUCCUGGUCAGGACACGCGCCUGGGUUGCUGGUUCAGUCCCUAGUCAGGGCAUGUAUGAGAAGGCAACCAAUCAAUCUUUCUCUCAUUGAUGUUUCUCUCUCUCUCUUUCUCUCUCUCUCCCUCCCUCUCUCCCCCUCCCACCCUACCCCUUUCCCUCUUUCUAAAAGCGAGGAAAAAAAUGUCCUCCGGUGAGGAUAAGAAAACAAAAACAGCGAGGCAAAAAGUAAUAAUAGCCAGUGUUGGCCGGCAUGAGCUGAAACGGGCACUCGGUACCCGUGAGGGCGGCAUCGGCACUGUCAGGCCCUGUAGUCAAGGUCUUUUAAACAUGGUGUGUAUGUCCUCUGGCCUAGAAACUCCACUUCUGGGAUUUCGGUCUAAGGAAAUCAUGGGAAAAUUUGACUA